AAGAAUAAACAGACUUUAGAGGUAUUCUAAAGAGACCCCACUACAUUACCUCAAAGCAUUUACUUUUUACAAUUCUUACACAAAGCCUGUUAGGUACAAACCCAAAUUCUGAAAAAGUUGGGACAGUAUGGAAAAUGCUAAUAAAAACAAAAGGGAGUGAUAAGUAAAUUCUAUUCUACAACAACACAUUAUUUUGAUGUUUUACCUUGUGAAUAAUUUUUUAUGUAUGGUAACACUUUACAAUAAGGUUGCAAUUGUUAACAUUAGUUAAUGCAUUAGUUAACAUGAACUAACAAUGAACAACACUUAUUUACAGCAUUUAUUAAUCUUUGUUAAUGUUAAUUAAUACAAAUACUAACACAGUUCUUAACAUUAAAAAGAUUUAUAAGUUAAAAUUACUUAAUGCAUUAGCUAACAUUAACAAUGAACAACACCCUAAACACCCAAUCUUUAGGUAGGUGGUACGUAUCAAAGUAACAUCCACAUGAAUGCCAGGACCCAAGGUUUCCCAGCAGAACAUUGCCCAGAGCAUCACACUGCCUCUGCUGGCCAGCCUUCUUCCCAUGGUGCAUCCUGCUACCAUUUCUUCCCCAGGCGCUUUUGAUGGUGGACGGGUCAGCAUGGGCACUCUGACCGCUCUGCAGCCCCAUACACAGCAAGCUGUGAUGCACUGUGUGUUCUGACACCUUUGGCCAGCAUUAAGUUUUUCAGCAAUUUGUGCUACAGUAGCUCUUCUGUGGGAUUGGACCAGAUGGGCUAGCCUUCGGUCCCCACGUGCAUCAAUGAGCCUUGGGCGCCCAUGACCCGGUCGCCAGUUCACCGGUUGUCCUUCCUUGGACCACUUUUAAUAGCUACUAACCACUGCAUACCGGGAACACCCCACAAGACCUGCCAUUUUGGAGAUGCUCUGACCCAGUCGUCUAGCCAUCACAAUUUGCCACCUAAUAUAUCCCACCCCUUGACAGGUGUCAUUGUAACGAGAUAAUCAAUGUUAUUCACUUCACCUAUCAGUGGUUUUAAUGUUAUAGCUGAUCAAUGUAUACGCUCUGUACACUGGGGGAAUCCUGGAGUUUUAUGUAAGAGGGAAACCACCACUUCUGCAUUGCAAUUCAGCUGCAGGUCGUGAUAGUGAGUUAAGGAAACAAACACAGCAACAACUCUGGAAUAUCUGGAAAUAAAGCGAAUCCACAGAAAGUAAAAUAUUGAAGUAUUCCUUGGAUGCCAUGUGUGUUUACACAAGCAUUGCGAGAAAAUUAUGUUGCUGUGGAGAAAGCUGCUUACUGACGUGGCCACAUGUAUAUGGGAGUAAAGAGUACAGCACUUAAACUGUGCAUGUAAACGGGAACGCUGUUUCUCGCAACGACUCACUUUCUCGUAAUAAGCCGCUUUCUGGUGUCCAUGUAACCAUAGUCAUUGUGGAAGAAAUUACUAAGUUGCAAAUUAAGGAAUAAACUUUAUUUUAUUUUUUUGAAGGAAACGUGAGCGGAGUUCUCCCAUGCAAAACGUAUUUGACAGUUUUCCUAUUCUUGUGUAUGUUGCUAAUGAUUUUGCUUUUUGAUUACUUUUCUUCUGCACAGUGCAGAAAAAUUUUCUCAAAACGACAUGUUUUGAUUGUUGAUUCGAUAGCGAUUCAAUAUUUUAAUGAAUGUGUUACAUUUGCUAUGUAAUGCUAAUAAAUGUCCUGCAAAUCUUUGGAAUGUGUGAAUUGCUUUACAAAAAGGACCUAAAAUUAAUGUUGUUUUUUUUUUUUAUUGUAAAAAAUGUUAGUAAAGAGCCUACAAACAUUAGUAACACAUUAGGUAAUGUUGAAAUAUGUUAUACUUUACAAUAAGGUUUACAAAUAUGCAUAGUAAAUACUUUAUUAUUAUUUAUCAUUAAAGAGUCAACAAACAUUCAUAACACAUUAAUUGAUGUUCAAACAGUUUCUGCUUUACAGUAAGGUUCAUACAUUUGCAUAAUAAAUACUUCAUUAUCAUUAUUUAUCAUUAAUUAAGAGUCAAUAAACAUUAGUAACGCAUUAAUUAAUGUUCAGACAGUUUCUACUUUACAAUAAGGUACAUUUGCAUAAUAAAUACUUCAUUAUUAUUAUUUAUCAUUAAUUAAGUCAACAAACAUUAGUAAAGCAUUAAUUGAUGUUCAGACAGUUUCCUCUUUACAAUAAGUUUCACAAAUAUGCAUAAUAAAUACUUUAUCAUUAUUUAUCAUUAAGAAUCAACAAACAUUAGUAACACAAUUGAUGUUCAAACAGUUUCUACUUUACAAUAAGGUUAAUAAAUUUGCAUAAUAAAUACUUCAUUAUCAUUAUUUAUCAUUAAUUAAGAGUCAACAAACAUUAGUAAAGCAUUAAUUGAUGUUCAAACUGUUUCCACUUUACAAUAAGUUUCACAAGAAUUUCACACACCAUUACACUUGUGUAUAUGGCUGUGUGACAAUAAAGUGAUUUGAUUGAUUUGAUUUGACAAAUAUGUAUAAUAAAUACUUUAUUAUCAUUAUUUAUCAUUAAGAGUCAACAAACAUUCGUAACACAUUAAUCAAAUAAAAAAGGGUUUUCACUUGUAUAUAUAAACUCAGCAAAAAAAAGAAACGUCCCUUUUUCAGAACACUAUAUUUUAAAGGUAAUUUUGUAAAAAUCCAAAUAACUUUACAGAUCUUUAUUGUAAAGGGUUUCAACAAUGUUUUCCAUGCUUGUUCAAUGAACCAUAAACAAUUAAUGAACAUGCACCUUUGUAAUGGCUGUUAAGACACUAACAGCUUACAGACGGUAGGCAAUUAAUGUCAUAGUUAUAAAAACUUAGGACACUAAAGAGAGCUUUCUACUGACUCUGAAAAACUCCAAAAGAAAGAUGCCCAGGUUCCCUGCUCAUCUGCGUGAAUGUGCCUUAGGCAUGCUGCAUGGAGGCAUGAGGACUGCAGAUGUGGCCAGGGCAAUAAAUUGCAAUGUCUGUACUGUGAGACGCCUAAGACAGUGCUACAGGGAGACAGGAAGGACAGCUAAUCGUCCUCGCAGUGGCAGACCACGUGUAACAACACCUGCACAGGAUCGGUACAUCCGAAUAUCACACCUGUGGGGCAGGUACAGGAUGGCAACAACAACUGCCUGAGUUACACCAGGAAUGCCCAAUCCCUCCAUCAGUGCCCAGACUGUCCGCAAUAGGCUGAGAGAGGCUGGACUGAGGGCUUGUAGGCCUGUUGUAAGGCAGGUCCUUACCAGACAUCACCGGCAACAACGUCACCUAUGGGCACAAACCCACCUUCGCUGGACCAGACAGGACUGGCAAAAAGUGCUCUUCACUGACGAGUCGUGGUUUGUCUCACCAGGGGUGAUGGUCAGACUUGUGUUUAUCUUCAAAGGAAUGAGCGAAACACAGAGGCCUGUACUCUGGAGCGGGACUGAUUUGGAGGUGGAGGGUCUGUCAUGGUCUGGGGCGGUGUGUCACAGCAUCAUCGGACUGAGCUUGUUGUCAUUGCAGGCAAUCUCAACACUGUGCGUUACAGGGAAGACAUCCUCCUCCCUCAUGUGAUACUCAUCCUGACAUGACCCUCCAGCAUGACAAUGCCACCAGCCAUACUGCUCGUUCUGUGCGUGAUUUCCUGCAAGACAGGAAUGUCAGUGUUCUGCCAUGGCCAGCAAAGAGCCCGGAUCUCAAUCCCAUUGAGCACGUCUGGAACCUGUUGGAUCGGAGGGUGAGGGCUAGUGCCAUUCCCCCCAGAAAUGUCUGGGAACUUGCAAGUGCCUUGGUGGAAGAGUGGGGUAACAUCUCACAGCAAGAACUGGCAAAUCUGGUGCAGUCCAUGAGGAGGAGAUGCACUGCAGUACUUAAUGCAGCUGGCGGCCACACCAGAUACUGACUGUUACUUUUGAUUUUGACCCCCCUGUGUUCAGGGACACAUUAUUCCAUUUCUGUUAGUCACAUUUCUGUGAAACUUGUUCAGUUUAUGUCUUAGUUGUUGAAUCUUUUUAUGUUCAUACAAAUAUUUACACAUGUUAAGUUUGCCAAAAAUAAAGCAGUUGAAAGUGAGUUUAUAUAUUUUUAUUAAGUAGUUAAGUAAAAUAACACCCAGGAACAUAAGUGAGUGACAAUUCUUUCGAUAUCCCUCCAACUUUUCUCCUCCACAAUUAAUGUUAUCAUAUACACCUUUCAAUGUAAGAAAUGUGUUAGUUGUAUGUACACUAUAUAUUAUUAUAGGCCUUCAUAUAAAUUAACAUUAAUAAACCUCUAAUAAAAGAGGUGCCGUUCCUUGUUAGUUCACAUGUAUCUAAAUGAACAUAAACAAAGAUUGAUUAAUGCCGUAAAAGGGUGUUGUUCAUUGUUAGUUCAUGUUAGCUAAUGCACACUGCCUGGCCAAAAAAAAAAGUCACCAUUUGGAUUUAAAUAAUGGUUAUGAUUUCCUUUUCUGCUUGCUAAACUUAUAAAAAACUUGUGUCUUCAAUGCGCAAACACUUAAUGAGUGUUAUCAGAUGAAAUAACGAUCGUACACUGUGGCAAACACUUGACUGUUCCAACUUUUUUGGAGCAUGUUGUGAUUUGAAAUGCGUAUUUAAAAAAAAAAAAAUACAUUAAUUAAAUUCACAAUCAAAUAAUGUGUUGUUGUAGUGCUUUCAAUAUAGCUCAGGGUGAAUAGAAUUUACAAAUCACUCCUUUUAUUGGCAUUUUCUAUACUGUCCCAACUUUUUCGGAAUUGGGGUAGUAAAAGGAAAGCAAAAAAGAAACUAAAGAUGACUGUAGAAACAAACUGGCACAAUUUAAAGAGUACAUUGUACUUCCAAAAUACCAUAUUUCUAUGAACACACAAGACUGAUGGAAACUUGUAAGGUUCCUCUGUGGGUACUAUACAAGUUUUCACUGUCAGGACUGAAGAAUAGGUUUAUAAGCACAACAGGUUAUACAUUUACUUUCAAAUCAGAGACAGUAGUAAUUAGUAUUUCCCAGUAGAUAUUUAAAAAGAUUUUAUUUGAAUGUGUAAAACAGAGUGAUUUAAAAUUAACAAAAUAUUAUCUUCUCACACAAAACUACCAUUUAAUGUCAUCAUUGAAAUACACUUAGUAGUGUAUAUAUAUAUUUUAGUUACUGAUGACCUAAUAAAGUUUGUCCCUCUUAUCAAACAUGUUUACUUUGCAAAUUUUUUUACAUUUAUAAUUAAUAUUUUUUUUUAGUAAUGGACAUUUUUUUUUCACCAUAUAAAAUACAUAACAAAAAGGUAUUCUGCACUUCUUUUGUGAUGAAUAUAUGUAUAAAACACAGAUAUUUAGUUACAAAAUGUGGCCUGAUGUUAUGGCUUCAUAUGUGAUACUUCUUUGUAAAACAAACAUCUUAAUUUGACUGAAGAUGGUUAAUGUUAAGUUUCUACCACAAAUGGCAUAUUUUACACACGUUUAGCAAGAAGUUAGUAUCUUCUCUGUUAGGGAACCUGUUGGGAACAAGAUAUCUGAAUUUCUGAUUUGUUCUGAUCAGAUGCCUUAAAACAAGAUUUCUAUAGUAACAUUAACAUUAAAUGAGUAACAGGUCAUUACCACCACAAGAUGGCGCUGUAACUUACCAAGAAACUCCUGUUUAUUCAUCCUCUUAUUUUCCGGUCCGCUGUAUUUCCUAACCCCCCUUCCUGUCCGAUCAAGAGACAACCACUUGCCCACCCUUAAGAUGAAAAUGCCCCCGCCCCCCUCACCCCCCAAAGAUUGCAUUUUUGCACUGUUCAGAGGGCAUUUAAGGUGAAACAAAGUGCCAAACAAAAAUGAUUAUGAGGAACUGAGUUCUGUGUGAUUACAUCUGAAAUUAUGCUUGAUUCAGGACCUUAUAUAUAUAUAUAUACUGAGCAAUAAUUAAUGUGCAAUACACAUCUUAGUCUUUUUAUAUUAUCUAACACAUCCAACCUCUUCUGCCAUUACAUUCCCUUGUAUGUAUGUUUUUCAAUAUGUAUUUAUUUAUAAUUAAUUUUUAAUUAUUUUUAAAAGUCUUGUUGCAGUUUUUGUAUUGUUGAGUACUGGAAGCUCCUGUCACCAAGACAGAUUCCUUGUAUGUGUAAGCAUACUGGCAAUAAAGCUCAUUCUGAUUCUUAUUCAUUCAGUCUGCCAAGACCUCAUAACAUUAUUGGUAUGGUUAUCCUUCAGCUAGCCCUAAAUCCUUCAGCAGCAGUGAAUGCAUAACAGUUAAAGAGGAAAACCUGUCCUUGUGCCUUUUGUAACCUCUUUUCACUCUAGAUUUUGGUAUUUGAUGUGGGGUCGUUCGCACCAAACAAUAAUUCCUUGCUUGGAAAGGCCUUGAGAAUGCUGUUACAUGGAAGGGAAGGACAGAAGGAUAAGGAGGGACAAAACCUCUGUACCAUCCCAUUUAAUCCUGCAAUGUGGGUGAAUUGACUUGGAUCAAGUUAAUACUUGGACCAAUUAGAUCUUUCUCUGUUUGACUUUCUUUUUUUACAUGGAACACACAAGGAGAUGCCUUGAUGAACAUCAUGGUCUUUCUUUUCAUUAAGCUACAAUUUUGCUUAGCGCCAAAAACAGUCAUCGCGUAAAGGUGUGAAGAAGCUUCUCUCAUAGUGCUCACAAACAUGCACUGGGUAAGUUACGACAAAAUGUUAAUUUUUAGGUGAACUAUUCCUUUAAUGUAUCUAGGUAUUUCCUUCAGGAGCAUCAAGUGGAGGUUUUAGAAACUGAGAGAAUGAAACAGCGAGAAAGCAGGUGCCCCAAGUAACUUUUUCUUUGAGCCGCUGCAUCGGUGGCCUCUGAAACAGACAGGCAACCUUUGCUUGGCCUUCAGCUCCUCUCACUUAUUUAUAAUGCAGACUUCAUAAAAGUUUGAGCACAACUGAGCCAACGAUCGUUACUGGUCCAGAAUGUGGAUGAGGAAAAUCACAUAGAGCACAUAAUAUGAAGAGAGCUCUAAGAGUACAGAAUAUGUUCCACAUCCAUGUUCCAGAUGAAAAAUAAAUAAAUAAAAUACGAAUCUGCAAAACAGAAGAAAUGUAAAAAAAAAAAAAAAAAAAAUGUUCAAUGCAGUUUCCUGGUCUGCUGUUUAUACUUAGUCACUGAAACUGAUUUCCUUCCAGGUUAGUUAAUGAUAAAAUUAGAAGUAAUAUUUAUUUGUGUGGAAAAAAUAAAAUGUUGAAUUGAACAAACAUGGAUAUAAUCACCAAGCAGACAUAUAGACAGUUUAGUGUGUUGAAGUGAAUGCUCUUAGUUUGUGGAACAUGAGGCAGCAUCAUAGUCAAGCACACAGUUAAAUAUUCAGUGGCCCCAGGGAUUAAAUAGACUUGACUAGUCUAUUGUUAAUAGCAUAGCCUGUAUUUUUCUAAGACGAGUUACGGCAACAUAUGAUGGUGUUUGAAAGAAUCUUUCUUGUGAAAAAAACAAACAAAACAACAACUUCAAGCAAGUUCUAUUAGAUUUGCCUUUUCAUCAAAAUCUGGGUUACAGUGAGGCACUUACAAAUGUAAGUGAAUGAGGCCAGUCAGAAAACGUUAAAAUACUCACUGUUUCAAAGACAAACAAUAUACUUGUAAACAUGAUUUUAGUGGGAUAAAUGUUAUGUUAAUGUUAGUAAGUGAUUUAAGUGUUAAGUUAUCCAAUUUUACAAUUUUGUUGCCAUGACGACGACAAUGUAAAUCCUAAAAUGACUGUAAAAAUUACGAUUUAAACAACUUUACAGCUCAAAUAAUACAUGAGUUUUAACAGAAGUAUUGUAAGUGCUUUUAAAAAUUAUUAGCUUCACAUUUUUGCCCUUAAACCCUCCAAAAAUUGUCCCUAUUCACUUCAAUUGUAAGUGCCUUACUGUAAUCUUGAUUUUUGCCCUUUUAAAUAUCGGGAAUGCCUGAUUAUUGUUUUUUUUUAACAAUAAUUUACUGUAAAAAGUGCAUGUACUCUCUUGUUAAACAAUGUAAAUUUUUACCAUUAAUUAUACAGGAAAAUCAUACUUUACAUCUAAAAAAUUACAUUUUUACAACAUUUUAUUGUAAAAACUACUGUAUUGUCUUUUAAUAUAUAUAUAUAUAUAUAUAUUUUACUGUAUAUUUUACAGUUAAUACUCGUUAAUCAAAGUUUUUUUUCCUGUACCAUUUUUACAGUCUUUUACUGUUAAAAUUACAGAAAUUUUACAGUGUGAGGCUUAAACAACAAUCAUAUCAACAUAUCAUUUCCCUCUGAUAUUUGAGAUAGUUUAUAGAUAGGGCUGGGAUUAGAGAUAGGGUAAGGACUAUGAUUAUAUGGCAGGAGUGCUGUUCAAGGACCAAUAAUAGAUGCUUAUCCAGGAGCAUGACUUGUCGAAAUGACGAUGACACAGGCAACUCAACCCUGAGAGAUAUACAACAACAGACAUCCAUACAAGAACAGUGAGGAGGCAGUGUGCACACAAAGAAGUGCAAAGAAGCUUUCCUAAGGGGAUAAUAAAGUACCUAUUUAUUAACAUGAAAUCCAAAUUUACAAGGUUAACAGAAAAAGAAGCACAUCCAGUACAAUUAUUUGAGCAUUCCUAAUUUUACCCAGUAACUAACAAUGAUUCAUUUCAGCGUGACUGUUAACUGCGCUCUCUGGUGCCAGAGGAAGACUCUUCCUCGUUUUGGCCUGUGGAAAUGCAAGCGUAUGCACAUUACUAUGAAUGAAAAAAAUUAAAUCAACACUAAGACAAAGAAAAUAAGACUUAAAAGCAAAUAACAUUCUCAUUUGUAAGGAUUGCCAAUUGUUUUAGUAGGCAAAGAACAGAAUACUAUCCUUAAAUACAAUUCUUCCAAAGAAACAAAACAUACAACCACAAAUGUGCAUUUUUGCCACUUUGUACAAAUACAAAAGUCAAAUCUACAGAAAUUAACAACUUUAUGCACACUGAGGUAAAUGAUAAACAUUGGUCAAAAGAGAGGUAUUAUGCUUUGACAUUAAAUGUUUUUGUGUUUUGUGCUGAAGCAUAUUUAUUUUUUUUGUAAGACACUUCAAUCUGACAAACAAUGAAGCUAAACAUUUACACCGACCUUGAAGUAAAAAAAAAAAAUAAUAAUAAUAAAAUAAAAAAAAAGCUUUUGUAGAGUAACCUACACAGAGGAAAUGCUAGAAGAAAUUCUGAAUAGCAAAUUAACUCUGUACUUGAACAUCAACCUUGGAAUAAACAAAGAAGAACAGAGUACAAAGUACAUCCUUCCAAUAUGAGGAAAUCGUUAGAGAUAUGAAAAAGGCCCACUUUGGGCCCUUUUUUAUGUGUUUUGGGGGUUGAGAAUACCAGUAUCUUAUGACCCCAUACCCAGAUGGAAUCUGCAGAUUAUUUUAAUUUUUUUUGUGUGUGCGCAUUUUCUGUGCUGAUUUUGAGGGAAAAUUUGCGGAAGGGAUUUAAACAUGGUAAAAUGUGUUAAAUAGAGCUGUGAGUACUACACUCUUAUUGAUAGCUGAAAGCAUCAUGAAAUUAGGCAAAAUAUUUAAUAAACAAACAUGUGAGGAAUGUGUAAAAUAUUUAUGAAUAAAAGAUGUCACAAUUCUGCAGAAAUCGGAGGAGUUUUCUGCAGAGAUCUGUGCACGCAGAUUCUGUCUGGCCCUGGACUUUACAGAAAGCGCAUAUCUUUAUAAAAUAGAGGCACUUGUUUUGCAUCAUGCACUGUAGAGCACAGUAAGUUUGAAAUCCAUCUUGCAUAUCACAGCUUAAGUAUUUCUGGUUGCAUCCUAUUUCAUUUCCUCCCCUUAGUGCUAAUCAGCCUGAGGCUUUCCAUUUAUAACUCAUCAGUGCAUACAUUCUUUUAAUUAAUGCUAGACAGGGUUCAGCUUGUAGGAAAGUGACAGCACUCAUCACAUGGAGCUGUAGUGCUACAGUAGCGUGACCACCUUACAACCUCACAUUCAAAACACUGCAUGUUCAAAGUGACUGUGUAGUCGCAGGAAAGUUUCGUAUUAAGGUUUCCAUUUUUCAUUUAUAAAAAUAUGUACAAUGACUCUACAAGACUUCAAUAAGUGUCUAUACAUUAACAUGAAUGCAUUAGUUAUCAGGAAAUAACAAUUAACAAUAUCUUUAACAGCAUUUAUUAAUCUUGGUUAAUGUGAAUCUAUAAAUAUACCAUUGUUCAGGGGCCUGGGUAGCUCAGUAGUAAAAGACGCUGGCUACCACCCCUGGAGUUUGCUAGUUCGAAUCCCAGGGCGUGCUGAGUGACUCCAGCCAGGUCUCCUAAGCAACCAAAUUGGCCCGGUUGCUAGGGAGGGUAGAGUCACAUGAGGUAACCUCCUCGUGGUCGCUAUAAUGUGGUUCGUUCUCGGUGGGGCUCUAUGAGCGUGGAUGCCGCGAAGCCUCCACACGCACUAUGUCUCCAUGGCAACGCGCUCGACAAGCCACGUGAUAAGAUGUGUGGGUUGAUGGUCUCAGAUGCGGAGGCAACUGGGAUUCAUCCUCUGCCACCCGGAUUGAGGCGAAUCACUACGCCACCACAAGGACUUAAAAGCACACUGGGAAUUGGGCAUUCCAAAUUGGGAGAAAAAACAUACAUAUAUAUAUAUAUAUAUACACACACACACACACACACACACACACACACACACACACACACACACACACACACACACACACACACACACACACACACACACACACACACACACACACACACAC
Molecule: long non-coding RNA, 10565 nt
Organism: Myxocyprinus asiaticus (Chinese sucker)
Lineage: Eukaryota; Metazoa; Chordata; Actinopteri; Cypriniformes; Catostomidae
Exons: 2
Source: RefSeq, a predicted model, not a curated record